This is a long non-coding RNA of Acanthopagrus latus (yellowfin seabream), 2506 nucleotides long. RefSeq lists it as uncharacterized. Lineage: Eukaryota; Metazoa; Chordata; Actinopteri; Spariformes; Sparidae. The transcript is spliced from 4 exons. The record is from RefSeq and is a predicted model, not a curated record.
ACAAAAACAAAAAGUAGAAAGCAUAAAGUGCUGAUUUUAUUCUUUGACAGCUUGAUUCAGUGGUGAACUGCUGCUCGGCACAGAGAGAGAAGAAUACGACAAAAACAAAGACACAUCUGUGCGCCUGCCUAUGAAUACUCUUAAUCGACACUGCUGGCACGCUGCGAGAGACCCUCCGGUCCAUCUGCGGCCGCAUGCGAGAACAAUCAGAGGAGCCUACCUGCCACAUCUGCCCAGUGCUCCACAUCCAUACUAAGUGGAGACGUCUCAGCAACAGGUGCCACUGAAACAACCACGAGAUCUUGCGCUUUACGUUUCAUUCAUGCUGGCACCUGAAGCUGGGGGGGGCGAAGACAUCUGUCAUGGAUAUUCUGCAAGAGCCACGACAAACAAUCACGGCAGCCAGCGCUGAACACAUGCUGCCAAAAAAAAAAAAAAAAAGCGUUCCGCGUAUCUAAAGACGCCGUUGAUCCGUUAUAAUUGCAUCGACAAAGCACCUGAGGAAUCUUACAGAGGGCCCUCCUGGCAUCCCUCCACUCUCCGACAUACAGACGGCAUUGUGUGUCAGAGGAUGGUUCGCUGGAGCGCUGUCGAUAUCCAUGUGCUCGGAUAUUGAUGACAGCGUUAAGUCACAGUGGGUGAUCGCUGAGGUUUGGCUGGACGGACUCUGCGAUGAUGUGGACCUCAGCAGCCAUGGUGUGUAUGAUCAGGAGCUACAGGAGCCCCUGUGACAGUGACAGAAGGAAGUUGUGCACUUGGAGUUGACAACAUCUGGAAGGCUGAAAGAAUCUGGAAAACCUGUUGGAGAGCUGAACGACUGCCUUAAUAAGAGAAGAAGAACAACCGCUGACUGGAGGGCUGAAUCGCGAGGACCACAGGUCUCCACAUUCCUGGACCUGGCUCCUGGAUACAACAAGGCACCGCAGCAGGCAGCAUCUUAAACCAUUCAAAUGAUCUCCGCUCAAUAUUGCAUUCCUGCACAUGCACUUCAGUGAGGGUUGGUGUUCCAGCUAUCGCCACAAUUUUACCUCUCUUCCUAAAACAUACAGAUGUAUAUAUUUAUUCAUUAGAAGCGGUAAUAAUCACACUGUUGUCAGUUGUAUACGCUGACCUCAAAGGGGCCAUUCAUUCGCUACCUUCCAUAGCUCGAAAUGUAAUGAAUGAGCUGUUUGACUGAAGAAAAACAAAGUCACAUUCAAGGAUACAAUUUGUCUCUCGUUUUCUGUUAUUUAGCGCAAUUACAGAGAGCCAAAAGGUUUUCACUUUUUGCUCGUUUCCACAGCAACAUUUGCUAAGUUUGGACAGAGAUGUAAAAUGUCUCUGCAGUUGAGGGAUAAUGAGCAUAUUUCCAGAUUUGCUUUUUAUAAACACAUGCUACUUUUAACUACAUCACAGUGAAUGAAAGACGACCAGUUUACUUGCCUGUAUCCACAGUCCAAAAUCUUAAUUUCCCACUCAUUUUAAACAUAAAUAUUUGAGACUGUGGGGCACAAUGAAAGGCAACCCACUCCUCAUACUAGUUACUAGUAAUGAAAAGGCUUUUAAGAAAAGCAGAAAGGGUCACAGGAAAAGGUUUCUAAAAAGGUGUAAUUUGUAAGAAAUGGCCAGAAUUUGAAAGUAGCUCAAAAAUGAUAGAGGUCUGCAUAUUGGUCAACUGUGGCUCACUAUAUGUUUUGCUGUAGGGACUUCCUGCUGGUAGCAAGUAGAUCAGUUUAGCCGUGGAACUAAGUGGCCUCAUUAGCUGACAGGAGUUUGCCAGGAUCACGACCUCAGAUCAUGGGGGAAUUCACCACCGGCAACAGGACCACGUCAACUGGCCUCCCAGUGAUCACAGCUGAGUGCCAGGCUGAAGACAGGGGAUGCAAUGCAGAGGUGGUUUACAGCGGCUUUGACCAGGACUAUGACUCCAGGGACUCUGGAGAAAACAGAGCAGACUGGGACAGGAGAGGCCUGAAGUGGCAGAGGACUGAGCGCCCGGCAUCAGAACACCACGUAGAGCCAGAGUAAUUUCGACAUUUUACUUUGACCAAACCAGAGAAGAUCGUAGGAGGACAAACCGAGACUGUUGAGAUUCAUUUUGUUUAUGUCGAGGGAACAAAGUGUGUUUUAAGAUGCAUUUACAAGGCAAUUAAGUUAGACUCUGUUGGCUGAAAAAGAAAAACUUGAAUUCAGUAGGUUGUAUUUUUUAUUCAGUAAAGAAAACAGGUGUAAAAAUAUUUCCUUUUUUGACAUUUGUGAGUUCAUUUUGUUUACUUUCUGCUUUUACUUCUCCCUGCUGGAGCUAUGGGGGCCUCUUGCAGUACAAAGAAAUAUUAGGAGACAGGAUGGGCCGGGACUAGCUGGUUAGCACGCUAACUUCAUCCCUUCAGUACAGUAGAGACAUCUUUGAAAAAACAUCAACACUGUAGCUUCAUAACACUCCUGUUGAGAUUGGGUUUUUUUUCUUUUUCCUCAAUUCUGGCCAUAUCUUACAAAUUGCCCAUUUUAAACAUGUUUUUUUCCCCCC